GAUUUAGCCGACAAGGCUACCAGAUCUAAAGUUAGCAGUUUGUGGUUAAAAAAUAAAUAAGAGUGAUUGUCAUGCCAAAAGUUACUGUUGAAGACAAAAACAGCUGAAGCUGAAACGCUUUCCCCAAUUACCUGUCCACACUUAACAACGGGAAAUGUGUGCACUGAGGUAUUGCUGACGCUGAGCUGUCACAAUUCUUCACCGAAAUCGACUAUUAAAGAAUUAAUUGCAAAAAGUUGAGAUAUAUUAUUAAUAAACUUAACGACAACCGUUAUUAAACAUAAACCUUAAAAAAAAUUCAAACGCUGUAUAUUACAUCAUAACUUUCAUGCCCACAUCAUGUGUACAUAAAUAUCUUGACAACAUAUGCUACAAUCGAAAAAUAUCAUCUAACCAAAAUCUAAAAAGUACAAUAAAAAUAAAAAAAAAUUUCAACAAAUCUACAAGAAAACAAUAAACAACCGGAAAUAAAAAUCAAUAUCUCUUGAAGUACUGUAUUCUAUGUGCCAUCAAUAAAGGAUAACAACAAUAAAAUAAAAACAGGACAGAUAUACCGUAAUUAUAGAAGCUUAAAGCGAGUAUUAGUGAUAGAAAAGUGACCGAGUCAAACUUUAGCAGAACAUAAUACAAACAAUCCCUCCAUUUAAGCACACUACAACAUAAACAUUAUCAUUGCAACAACUAUUGUUACUACAACUAUUAUCUACUACUUAUAUAAGCUAACUAUUUUAUCAUCUAUACGGAGUAUAAAUUAAGACUAUUAUCACACUAUUCAGUGUACAUAAUCAUUUUCUCUCCGAACACUACAACUGUUUUGAGUCGAGAAGCAAUAAUAAAGAAACUUUUCAAACUAAGAGCGUGAAGCCAAUUAAUAUA
Teleopsis dalmanni is the source of this 876-nucleotide long non-coding RNA. RefSeq lists it as uncharacterized. The transcript is spliced from 3 exons. NCBI's taxonomy places the organism in Eukaryota, Metazoa, Arthropoda, Insecta, Diptera, Diopsidae. The record is from RefSeq and is a predicted model, not a curated record.